This is a long non-coding RNA of Ruditapes philippinarum (Manila clam), 434 nucleotides long. RefSeq lists it as uncharacterized. Lineage: Eukaryota; Metazoa; Mollusca; Bivalvia; Venerida; Veneridae. The transcript is spliced from 2 exons. The record is from RefSeq and is a predicted model, not a curated record.
UUUUAGAAAGGCUUUGUUAAUAAUAUCUAUGUUGCAAGUGUGUUCCUAUGAGACAAUGUAGAAUAAAUGCAGAAUAAAUGACCACUUGAGCAGGGUUAAUUUUGAUAGGACAUUUUUUUCAUAUCUUUUUUAUAUGAAUACAUAAAAUGUCACAUGCAAAAUAUGUAAGGUGUAGAUGUAAACAAAUUUUUUAUACAUUCAAUAUUGUAACGUGACUGUAUCUAAAAAUAAGAGCUGUCACAGGUAGGGUUGGAUAUCGUUAAGAACGAAACAAUAAGAUACAAUACCGAUACUUGUGAAACAAUACGGUAUUUAUUGAUACCAAAACUCUAUACUUUUAAAGCGUUUGAGCAGCUUUAUUCAUUAUGUAUUCAUUAUUUCUAUAGGAAUCUUAUUUUGUUUUGUUUUAUUAUCAAAUAAAAGUAAUUAUCAAG